Molecule: non-coding RNA, 75 nt
Organism: Myotis lucifugus (little brown bat)
Lineage: Eukaryota; Metazoa; Chordata; Mammalia; Chiroptera; Vespertilionidae
Source: Rfam
GGCAGUUCUAGGGCAACACACCCAGGAAUUGGGCUCCCUCUUUUCUGGUUCUGGGUGCAUCACCCAAGAACCACA